AUGAACGCUAGCGGCAGGCUAACACAUGCAAGUCGAGGGGCAGCAUACCCAGCAAUGGGUGAUGGCGACCGGCGGAAGGGUGCGUAACGCGUGAGCAACAUACCCUAGUACAGGGGGAUAAGCCAGGGAAACUUGGUCUAAUAUCCCAUAGGAAAUAGAUAAGGCAUCUUAUUUAUUUUAAAGCUUCGGUGGUAUAGGAUUGGCUCGCGUGACAUUAGCUAGAUGGAGGGGUAACGGCCCACCAUGGCAAUGAUGUCUAGGGGUUCUGAGAGGAAGAUCCCCCACACUGGGACUGAGACACGGCCCAGACUCCUACGGGGGCAGCAGUGAGGAAUAUUGGACAAUGGAUGGAAAUCUGAUCCAGCCAUGCCGCGUGCAGGAAGACGGCCCCUAUGGGUUGUAAACUGCUUUUAUACGGGAGCAAUAAGGUCUAUGCAUAGAUUGAUGAGAGUACCGUAUGAAUAAGCAUCGGCUAACUCCGUGCCAGCAGCUGC
RNAcentral lists this ribosomal RNA (494 nucleotides) under uncultured bacterium. RNAcentral describes it as "bacterial SSU rRNA". It matches the Rfam family "Bacterial small subunit ribosomal RNA", at positions 29 to 518 of the family's 1533-position model. The record is from RNAcentral.